RNAcentral lists this ribosomal RNA (428 nucleotides) under Bacteroidota bacterium. RNAcentral's name for it is "Bacteroidetes bacterium partial 16S ribosomal RNA". It matches the Rfam family "Bacterial small subunit ribosomal RNA", at positions 355 to 776 of the family's 1533-position model. Lineage: Bacteria; Pseudomonadati; Bacteroidota. The record is from RNAcentral.
UAGGGAAUCUUCGGCAAUGGGGGAACCCUGACCGAGCAACGCCGCGUGAGUGAAGAAGGUUUUCGGAUCGUAAAGCUCUGUUGUUAAGGAAGAACGAGUGUGAGAAUGGAAAGUUCAUGCUGUGACGGUACUUAACCAGAAAGGGACGGCUAACUACGUGCCAGCAGCCGCGGUAAUACGUAGGUCCCGAGCGUUGUCCGGAUUUAUUGGGCGUAAAGCGAGCGCAGGCGGUUAGAAAAGUCUGAAGUGAAAGGCGGUGGCUCAACCAUUGUAGGCUUUGGAAACUGUUUAACUUGAGUGCAGAAGGGGAGAGUGGAAUUCCAUGUGUAGCGGUGAAAUGCGUAGAUAUAUGGAGGAACACCGGUGGCGAAAGCGGCUCUCUGGUAUGUAACUGACGCUGAGGCUCGAAAGCGUGGGGAGCGAACAGG